This 639-nucleotide ribosomal RNA is filed under the name Triticum aestivum (bread wheat). Its description in RNAcentral is "partial small subunit ribosomal RNA". The record is from RNAcentral. Lineage: Eukaryota; Viridiplantae; Streptophyta; Magnoliopsida; Poales; Poaceae.
AUGGAGCGGCCGCGGAGCAUUCCGCGGUACAGCGCCUCCCGAUUCGCCGGCAUCGCGGCGCCCCUGCAGGACGGCUCGGGCGCCGCCUCCUCCUCCGGCGCCGAGCGGGCUGGGCCGUGGUCAACGACGUCGGCGGCGAAGCGCACCCGCUUCAUGCUCCCGCGCCGCGCCUUCUCUCGCUUCCGCUUCUCUGCACGCACAAAGAAAGAAAGAAACAGGGGACAUAACCACGUAAGAACAAAGAACUGCGCAGUGCGGGUGCGGAUGAAUGAAGUAACGAACGGCAGGGCUGUGGAGGUGCUGCACCACUCACCGGAGGAGGAGAUGCAGGGGCGGAGCCGAGCAGGAGACGGGGACGUGGCGGCAGCGUCGGAGGAGACGAGGUGGUGGUCCGUCUGCUUGGCGCGGCAGAGCGAGAAGAGGACGAGGGUGCCGGAGAGCGCCAUGGCGGUGGCGGCGAGGGCGAGGCCGGCGUGGGAGCCGCCCAGCGCGGAGCCCGCCCCCGCCGAGGACGAAGACGACGACGACAUGGCACAGUGCGGCGCAGAUCACAGGCUCCCGUGGGAGGCCGCGGUGGGGAGGCGGAGAGCAGAGGCCCGACGACGGCGACUAUCGUGGCUCGAGGUUGUUGAGUCCUGA